GCCCGACUUCGGUUGGGUGGAGAGUGGCGAACGGGUGAGUAACACGUUGGUGACCUGCCCUGAAGCGGGGGACAACCAGUGGAAACGCUGGCUAAUACCCCGUAAGCUUGACCUGGUUAGAGAGGGUCAAGGGAAGGAGUGAUCCGCUUUAGGAGGGGCCAGCGGGCUAUCAGCUAGUUGGUGGGGUAAAGGCCUACCAAGGCGAGGACGGCUAGGGGGCGUGAGAGCGUGACCCCCCACAAUGGGACUGAGACACGGCCCAUACUCCUACGGGAGGCAGCAGUGAGGAAUAUUGCACAAUGGGGGCAACCCUGAUGCAGCAAUGCCGCGUGAGCGAAGAAGGCCUUCGGGUUGUAAAGCUCUUUUCUGGGUGACGAGAGAGGACGGUAACCCAGGAAUAAGUCCCGGCUAACAGGGUGCCAGCAGCCGCGGUAAUACCUUGGGGACGAGCGUUAUCCGGAAUCAUUGGGCGUAAAGCGCAUGUAGGCGGUUUAGCAAGUUGGUUGUGAAAGCUCAUGGCUUAACUGUGAGAGGUCAGCCAAAACUGCUAGACUUGAGCGAGGUAGAGGAGAGCGGAAUUCCCGGUGUAGUGGUGGAAUGCGUAGAGAUCGGGAGGAACACCAGUGGCGAAAGCGGCUCUCUGGACCUUGACUGACGCUGAGAUGCGAAAGCGUGGGGAGCGAACGGGAUUAGAUACCCCGGUAGUCCACGCUGUAAACGAUGGAUACU
This 729-nucleotide ribosomal RNA is filed under the name uncultured bacterium. RNAcentral describes it as "bacterial SSU rRNA". It matches the Rfam family "Bacterial small subunit ribosomal RNA", at positions 72 to 817 of the family's 1533-position model. The record is from RNAcentral.